CAAAAAACGGUACUCAGUUCGGACUGAAGGCUGAAAUUCGCCUUCAUGAAGCUGGAAUUGCUAGUAAUGGCAGGUCAGCAUACUGCCGUGAAUACGUUCCCGGGCCUUGUACACACCGCCCGUCACACCAUGGGAGCCGGGAAUGCCCGAAGUCGGUGACCCAACCGUAAGGAGGGAGCCGCCGAAGGCAGGCCUGGUAACUGGGGUGAAGUCGUAACAAGGUACC
This 226-nucleotide ribosomal RNA is filed under the name uncultured bacterium. Its description in RNAcentral is "partial 16S ribosomal RNA". It matches the Rfam family "Bacterial small subunit ribosomal RNA", at positions 1275 to 1500 of the family's 1533-position model. The record is from RNAcentral.